This 2842-nucleotide long non-coding RNA is filed under the name Equus asinus (donkey). Its description in RNAcentral is "lncRNA (ENSEASG00005026819.1)". The record is from RNAcentral. Lineage: Eukaryota; Metazoa; Chordata; Mammalia; Perissodactyla; Equidae.
GCAGGGCUACUGACAGACGGGUGGUGUGGCUCCACGACUGGGAAGUGAACCUGGGCUGCUGAAGUGGUGAGCCCUGAACUAUAACCACUAGGCCAUCGGGGCUGGCUCUCAAAACGUUUUCGGUAGCCAUUGAGGAGAAGAUUAGCCCUGAGCUAACAUCUACUGCCAAUCCUCCUCUUUUUGCUGAGGAAGACUGGCUCUGAGACAACAUCUGUGCCUAUCUUCCUCUGCUGUAUAUACGGGACGCCUGCCACAGCAUGGCGUGACAAGCGGUCCAUGUCCGCACCUGGGAUCCGAACCGGCAAACCCUGGGCCGCCGAGAAGUGGAAUGUGCGAACUUAACCAUUGCGCCACCAGGCCGGCCCCCAUAACUUACUUUAAAAUCAGGAAAAAGAACCCCCAUACGUGUUGGUGUUUCGAUUUGAUCGACUCAGAGGUGGUUAAAAUGCGCAGUCAGUGGAUGUGGAAGGCCGCGGCCGUGUGCAGUGACCUAGUGUGGGAGUGGAGUCUGGGACCGCAGUCUGGGCUCAGGGUGAACCAGGGGAUGAGCAAGCGCGAGGGAGGCGUUUUCCAGGAGAGCUGAGAGGAAAGGACAUCCGUGUGUCUGUGGGGUCCUUUGGGCCAAGGUUAAGUAAAUCCUGCUGUUUGAGACGCUGUCCGCUGACAGGCGAGCUCAGGGCUGCUGACCUGGUUUCCAGGCUGCUUGUGUUUGGGGACUGGUCUGGGAGCCCUCUCGCAGAGCCCUGCCGCUUCCCCUGUCUUCUCUGCCAGGGUGUGGCUGUUGGAGGUGGCUGGAGGUGACUGAGUCCUGGGAGGUGAGUGGGCGGAGGAGCCUGGGAGCCACCCCUAAUCAGCCUCUGAAUCUCUGGAGCAAAGUUAUUAGGGUCCUGUCCAGACAAGCUGUUGUCACCCAUGUCCCAACUCCACUCCUUUCAUCCCUUCUUGCCUUCUAUUUGUAUUUCCCGUGCAGGUUGCCUCUGCUGGAUACCCACGCCCUCAUGUGCUGCUGGGGAGUGAUGCAGGGGUGAGUGGGUGGGGGCAUAAACUGACUCUCAUCUGGAGUUAUUAGCAGCUUUGAACUAGAGCAAGCAGACUAUUCAAAUCCUGCCUAUCAACUCCUCAGCUGUGUGAUCUUAGGCAAGUCAUUUUGCCUCUCUGGGCUUGUUACUCAUCGAUGAAAUGGGGAUAAUUCUUUCUACCUCACUGAUUUGACUGGCUUAAUGAAGUCAUGGAUGGGAAUAUAAUUUAUAAGCUUUAUAAUGUUGGGCACCUAUGAAGGCAGCUUGUUAUUGAAGAGAUUGAUUUUGCCUGAUGAAUGUUUCUCUCAGAGGCCUGGGCACUGUAACUCCUACAUGUCCCCAAUAACCCUGGAAUGACUUGGUGUCAUCAAUAUAAUAAAAAAGUGCAACACAAUAAAAUUGAUACCAGCCAGCAUUUGUUCUGAAUUUUUAAAUCUGGUGCUUGCCAUUUUUACCAAGUCUUCUCACCUGUGGUCCCCAGCAACCUAGGCUUGGAGAAAACAGGAGGGGCUUUGGCUUCUAAUGCAUUUGGCUUCCUAUCCCAGCUCUGCCACUGUGUUAGGCAGCUAUUGCUGUAAUAGUGCUUUGUAACAACCACCCUUAAACUUGAUGGCUUACGACAACAAAUGCUCACAGGUCAACGGCACCUCUGGUGAUACGGUGAGCUCUGCUCCAGGCAGUGGGUCAGCUGGGCUUGGCUCCGGCUGACAAGCUGGGUUCAGGGCUGUUCCACUUUCAGUCUAGGGUUCAGACUAAAUGGGCGGCAGUUCCCUGGGGUGUGCUCUUCUUAUGAUGAUCACGGGCACCCAAGCCUCAGCCAAACCACACAGCACAUUUAAAGCCUGUACACGCAUCACAUCCUUCCACCAGCAUUCCACCUGCCGGAGCAGGUCACGUGGAUAAGCCGCACUGAUGGGGCAGGAAUAAACUCCACCCCAGUGGGAGGUGCUACCAAACUGCAUGGCAAGGGCUGUGACGUAUGAUCCUAGUAGGGAAUCCAGUGAUGCUUGUACUUUGUCUACUUAACUCUCUGAGCCUCUGUUUCCUCAUCAGUGAAACAGAAAUCUCUGCUUUGCAGAGUUAGACCUAAUUUAUGUAAAUUUCCUACUGCAUAGUUAGUACUCAAUGGAUGGGAGCUAUUAUCAGCUCCAUUUUAGAGAUGAGAACACCGGGGCCUUUAGGUGGUGUGGGCCCAGGUUGCUAGAGAAGGACCACACAGGUCUUUGGAGAUAUGUUGGAGUGACGUGGGCGAUCGAUUCUGUGACUUUGGCGGUGAGGAGCCGAUGAGCUGAAGAAGGUGAGGACAGCCCUUACCGUCCUCCCCGACAGGGACCUUUCUGUGAGUGGUCAAGGGACCCUUCUUAACAGUGUAAACUUGGGGGUGCCCGUUACCACAGUCCUGGUGGUGGCGAUGUCCGUCUUCCUCACUGGACUGAACUCUGAUGCCCCACGUCCUCUUCAUCCCUGGCUCCCUGGAAGGCACCUCGUAGAAGGCUCGGCAACUGAAGGACUCUGAGUAAGUGUUUGCACACUGACUCUUCCUGUCCUCCACGCUCUUCUCUCCACGACAUUCCGAGAGACAGAAUGGGACCAGCGAAAGGACUUUUGGCUCACCCACAGUGGGAUCCUGACCAAACCAGACACCAGCCCAUGCAGGGCCUCAGUUUCCCCAUGUGUGGAACAGGCAGGUAGGGCUUCAUGCUGUCCUGCAACCUGGACUUUCUGAGUCAUUCUCAUUCACAGUUACUCCUUAUGACAAAGGCUGCUGGCUGGCCACCACGAUGUGUUCUCUUCUUCCUCAGCAACGGGCUGCCCAAGCACAG